RNAcentral lists this transfer RNA (63 nucleotides) under Tenebrionoidea sp. 13 KM-2017. RNAcentral describes it as "tRNA-Gly". RNAcentral also lists the same sequence under 1 other name. Lineage: Eukaryota; Metazoa; Arthropoda; Insecta; Coleoptera. The record is from RNAcentral.
ACUUUUAUAGUAUAAAAAUUAUAUUUGACUUCCAAUCAAAAGAUCUAAUAAAUAGUAAAAGUA